This is a non-coding RNA of Manis javanica (Malayan pangolin), 1427 nucleotides long. Lineage: Eukaryota; Metazoa; Chordata; Mammalia; Pholidota; Manidae. The record is from RefSeq and is a predicted model, not a curated record.
GGGAGUGAGAGAAGGAGAGAAAGGAGGGGAGGAGGAAGCACAGACCGAUCAUGUGAUUUUGCCCAAAGCAAACAGAGCAAAUAGCGGCAUCGAGACUGUUAUUCAGGGUCCACGGCUACCUCAUUCCUGUCUUCCCCUGCCAGGUAGCCUAUCACAGUAGUAAAGCUCUCACUUCUAAGCUUAUAUCACAGUUCACUAUUUACUAGGUGUGUGACCUUGGUAAAUUCCUAAACCUAUUUCUACCUCAAUUUCCUUAACUGUCAGCGGGAGUACUAGCACCUACCUCAUGGGGUUGUUGGGAGAAUGAAAUGCAAUAGCAUGGGUAAAGCAUUUAACAGAGCACAUUUGUGUGUAGUGUGUGUGUUUGCAUGAACAGAGAUGUGCGUGCUAGCAUGGGCUUGUUCAUUUCAUUCUUACUGUUUUAGUCUGGUGUACUGGCUUUGCUGAACUUAAAAGUUCACAUCAUAAUUCUGUGCUGAAGGUGCAUUUCUCUGUUUUUUUUUCAGUCUCAUCUCAUCAGAGGUGAUGCCUGGAGGGACUUCCAAGUCAGAAUCAUCAGAGCAACUACUGAGAAUUCAAACUUAAAAAGAAAUUAAUUAUCAAUAAGGCACCACUGGCUGGGUGGAACUGAAUGCUUGCAAUCUGAACUCUGGGGAAAAAAGGAAAUCAGAGAGUGAUUAUUUUUGAAUGUGAACUUGAUUUGAGUAGCAGACACAGUGAAAAUACUUAUAAAAUGUGUCAUAAGUGCCAUCCCAGGAGGUUGCAAGACUGACCCCACUUCUGUGGUCAGUGUUCAUCCAUGCCUCAUAUACUUGAUCUGCAUUCCCAGGCCCUCAUCCUUGCCUUCCUGCCAAUCGCAGACCAGAGAUAAAAGCACUGUUGCAGCUGGUGAAGAUCCGCUCUGCUGUCAUUUAUGAGACAAGCAUGCUCCAAAGGAUGCUGGAAAAAGCCAAGCCAGGUUACAUUUCAGAGAAAAGUCAUUGCAAAGAUACAGUGCAUGCUGGGAUCUGGAAAUACCCCUGCAGAAAUCCACUUGAAAAACCUGCACUACUCUUGCUUCUUUGCCCCGGACUGUAAGAGAUUUCUGCACACAGGGUGUCAGAUGAUUGGACAGAAGAAUGUCUGUCAUUGUCCUUGGUGAGCAGAAAGGCCAUUUGUUCUUUCCUUAGCUGACCAAUGCUUUAGAACUCACCAGAGAGAACUGUGUCUCAACCAGCAUCCCUCUUCACUGAGGACUUCGGGAUCCUCUAUACUGGCACCAGCCUUUUCACAUGCAGUCUUUUGCAUAUGCAGUUACUCUGGAGACUUGGCUUGUCCAACUACCUGUUCAACCCCUUGUCUCUUGAGAGUUCACAUAAAGUGAAUGAGCAACCCCAUCUCUGCUAUGUUCAAGUAUCAAUAUUUUUCUCAAAGUCCCCUGAUGGUGA